CGCGUAACACGUGGGCAACCUGCCCUGAAGUGGGGGACAACAUUCCGAAAGUGGUGCUAAUACCGCAUGUGUACAUUGGUUGGCAUCAUCUGGUGUACAAAGGAUUUAUUCGCUUCAGGAUGGGCCCGCGGCCUAUCAGCUAGUUGGGGGGGUAACGGCCCACCAAGGCUACGACGGGUAGCUGGUCUGAGAGGACGAUCAGCCGGAUUGGGACUGAGAUACGGCCCAG
This 229-nucleotide ribosomal RNA is filed under the name uncultured bacterium. RNAcentral describes it as "partial 16S ribosomal RNA". It matches the Rfam family "Bacterial small subunit ribosomal RNA", at positions 107 to 334 of the family's 1533-position model. The record is from RNAcentral.